GACGAACGCUGGCGGCGUGCUUAACACAUGCAAGUCGAACGAAGUGGCGAACGGGUGAGUAAUACGUGGGUAAACGGCGCUAAUUUUUGGGAUAAGGCUUGGAAACAGGGUGUAAUACCGACUAAAGGGGGGUGGGAUGGCGGCCUAUCAGCUUGUUGGGGGGGUGAUGGCUUACCAAGGCAGGGACGGGUAGCCGGACGGAGAGGGUGACCGGCCCCAUGGGGACUGCGAUACGGCCCAGACUCCUACGUGAGGCAGCAGGGGGGAAUAUUGCACAAUGGGCGCAAGCCUGAUGCAGCCAUGCCGCGUGGUUGAAGAAGGCCUUCUGGUUGUAAAGCACUUUCAGCGGGGAGACGUUACCCGCAGAAGAAGCACCGGCUAACUCCGUGCCAGCAGCCGCGGUAAUAC
Molecule: ribosomal RNA, 408 nt
Filed under: uncultured bacterium
Lineage: Bacteria
Description: partial 16S ribosomal RNA
Rfam family: Bacterial small subunit ribosomal RNA
Source: RNAcentral